GGGAUGGAAUUUAAUUUGUUCAGAUGGUUUUUUGUUUGAUGUUGUGAGGCUGUAGCCUGGUGAGGUUGACCAGGAGAGUGUAAGAGUGUGAUGUUGUAAUCUGGUGAGGGUGACCAGGAGAGUGUAAGAGUGUGAUGUUGUGAGGUUGUAAUCUGGUGAGGGUGACCAGCAGAGUGUAAGAGUGUGAUGUUGUGAUGUUGUGAUCUGGUGACCAGGAGAGAGUAAGAGUGUAAGAGUGUGAUGUUGUGAGGUUGUGAGGGUGACCAGGAGAGUGUGAUGUUGUGAGGUUGACCAGGAGAGAGUAAG
Molecule: long non-coding RNA, 306 nt
Organism: Clupea harengus (Atlantic herring)
Lineage: Eukaryota; Metazoa; Chordata; Actinopteri; Clupeiformes; Clupeidae
Source: Ensembl